This 31-nucleotide non-coding RNA is filed under the name Mus musculus (house mouse). Lineage: Eukaryota; Metazoa; Chordata; Mammalia; Rodentia; Muridae. The record is from RNAcentral.
UNGCACUUUGUACUUGCCAUGGUACCAAUCU